CAGGGGAUCCCGGCCUACAGGAGUGCAGCCCCGGCCCCACAUGUGCUGCAGGGACGGCUCCGUGUACUGCUAUGUAGCUAGACAAUCACAGCAACCUUCAGUAGCACAACCCAAGGGAAUGCCUCCAUCCAGAGCAAGAUCAAGCACGGAUGAGUAAACACCAGGACCGUCAAGACCAGGGGAUCAUGAGCUACAGCCUGUUCUAUGGCGGCAGACAGUGGUGCAAGCCUCCAGACCAGCUAAUGAGAAACUACACUAUGUUGACAAAUGUGAUUGGACACUGACAGCAAAAUGAUCAACAAGAUUUUAUUGACAUCAGUAGGUCCACCACUUGCAGUGAUUACUGCAGACACCCUCCUUGGCAAAUUGUCCACAGGUUUCUGGACAACAGCAGAUGGUAUGUUUUGCCACUCUGUCUUAAUUACAGUGACCAACUGUGACACUGAAGAAGGUCAAGUCUGCCUAGAACGACCUGACGCUCUAUUUCGACCCAGAGGUUGUCAAUGGGGUUACCAAAUUUUAUGUAUACCAGUCCAGCGUCGCCUGGAAACUUGACAGGUGGCCGUUUCCGUAGAACUGCCACAAUGUAGGGAGCAUAGAGUUUUUAAGAACAUCUUUAUACUUCUCUUAGUUAAUUUGACCAUGCAUUACAACUAGAGGACCCAUGG
Pseudophryne corroboree (corroboree frog) is the source of this 668-nucleotide long non-coding RNA. RefSeq lists it as uncharacterized. The transcript has 3 exons. The record is from RefSeq and is a predicted model, not a curated record. NCBI's taxonomy places the organism in Eukaryota, Metazoa, Chordata, Amphibia, Anura, Myobatrachidae.